This is a non-coding RNA of Callorhinus ursinus (northern fur seal), 511 nucleotides long. The record is from RefSeq and is a predicted model, not a curated record. NCBI's taxonomy places the organism in Eukaryota, Metazoa, Chordata, Mammalia, Carnivora, Otariidae.
UCAGGACUUAGAUGGCUCCCUUCACCUCUCCCUGCUAGUUCUGUUCUGGGGGAAAUGAAGAUGCAAGCUGUCUGAAGCAUUGAAUUGAAUACUUUAUCACAUGUAAUUGCUGGAUGCCUGCACCCAGAAGACAGAGUUGAGAAUGCAGUCAACAAAACCAGGUUCAAGCCCCAGCCCUGUCACUUAGGAAGAAGGUUAAGCAAAUCAGCCUGGCAGGAAAAGAUUCUUCUUUGCUGAAACUAACAGCCCCAGAAAAAAAAAAAAAAGACCUACAGAUGCCAGCAUUUAUAGGUUGUAUCAGUGACAAAGCCAGCUUGAAGCCACAUCACCCUGUGAUGAAGCUUUCCAUGCACCAACCUUCUCUGGAGCCUGGUAUUUAAGAUCAGCUUAUUAAUGCCAUAUUCUUUAAUAUGAACAGACAGCCAAGGAACCAGACAUUUGGAGGAAAUUCUCCAAAAUGAAAGACAGAGACCAAAAUGAACAACACACGUGGGGGUGUGGGGAUGGGGCA